Heterocephalus glaber (naked mole-rat) is the source of this 425-nucleotide long non-coding RNA. The record is from Ensembl. Lineage: Eukaryota; Metazoa; Chordata; Mammalia; Rodentia; Bathyergidae.
GGACACUUGGAGGGGAGAAAACUCAAGGGAGGGACUGAUUUCCCAGAGGACAAUCCAUUUUCCAGUGACCCUACUGUCCACAGUUGGGACAUGGCCUUGUAGGAAGCCCGAGAAAAGGGCAAGCUUUUGUUUAGUGGCCCAGAUUGCUGUAGUGAACCGUCCCUAGCAAGGAGAAGGAAACAAGAGGAUAAGAUCAGUAUUUGAGAAAGAAAGAUGAAGGCAAACAGGCCCCUCAACACCUGCUACCUCAUGGAGGGGCUGAUAAAUUAUCAAGAUCUCAGAGAAUUUGGAUAUUGAAAGUACCCUCAGCUGGCCAGCAUAACCCAUUAUGCCAACAUCCUGAUUUCUGAGAAGACAUAAAUCAGUCCAGAGCAACCGAGGACACAGAUUCUCCCCUGAAGCAUCUAAGAGGAAUGGAGCCUUGC